This 460-nucleotide ribosomal RNA is filed under the name uncultured bacterium. Its description in RNAcentral is "partial 16S ribosomal RNA". It matches the Rfam family "Bacterial small subunit ribosomal RNA", at positions 338 to 795 of the family's 1533-position model. The record is from RNAcentral.
CCUACGGGCGGCAGCAGUGAGGAAUAUUGGUCAAUGGACGCAAGUCUGAACCAGCCAUGCCGCGUGCAGGAAGACGGCUCUAUGAGUUGUAAACUGCUUUUGUACGAGGAUAAACUCAGAUACGCGUAUCUGUCUGAAAGUAUCGUACGAAUAAGGAUCGGCUAACUCCGUGCCAGCAGCCGCGGUAAUACGGAGGAUUCAAGCGUUAUCCGGAUUUAUUGGGUUUAAAGGGUGCGUAGGCGGUCGGAUAAGUUAGAGGUGAAAGCCUGCGGCUCAACUGCGGAAUUGCCUCUGAUACUGGUCGGCUAGAGAGUAGUUGAGGUAGGCGGAAUGCAUGGUGUAGCGGUGAAAUGCUUAGAGAUCAUAAAGAACACCGAUUGCGAAGGCAGCUUACCAAGCUACCUCUGACGUUGAGGCACGAAAGCGUGGGUAGCAAACAGGAUUAGAUACCCUAGUAGUC